RNAcentral lists this non-coding RNA (105 nucleotides) under Mycoplasma capricolum. RNAcentral also lists the same sequence under 2 other names. The record is from RNAcentral. Lineage: Bacteria; Bacillati; Mycoplasmatota; Mollicutes; Mycoplasmatales; Mycoplasmataceae.
GUAGGUUGUAUAUUCACACAAUAUUGUUAGUAAUUUUAUUAUUAACAAGACAACUCUAUAAAAACACAGAAAAAAACAGCUCAAAUUUAGAUGGGCUGUUUUUUU